RNAcentral lists this ribosomal RNA (375 nucleotides) under Triticum aestivum (bread wheat). RNAcentral describes it as "partial small subunit ribosomal RNA". The record is from RNAcentral. Lineage: Eukaryota; Viridiplantae; Streptophyta; Magnoliopsida; Poales; Poaceae.
AUGAAUGGUGUGUUGACAAAAGGUGGAAAGAGAUAUUUCAUGACUUUGAUUGAUGAUGCGACUAGAUUUUGCUAUGUUUAUUUGUUGCAAACUAAAGAUGAAGCGUUAGACUACUUUAAAAUCUAUAAAGCUGAAGUUGAAAAUCAACUAGAGAGAAAGAUCAAGCGUCUUAGGUCCGAUCGUGGUGGAGAGUAUUUUCCAAAAGUUUUUGAUGAAUUUUGUGAGGAACAUGGUAUUAUUCAUGAGAGGACGCCUCCCUAUUCACCUCAAUCAAAUGGAGUGGCCGAGAGGAAAAACCGCACAUUGACUGACUUGGUGAAUGCCAUGUUAGACACUGCUGGUUUAUCUAAGGCAUGGUGGGGGAGGCUCUAUUGA